This 82-nucleotide transfer RNA is filed under the name Streptomyces sp. RB17. RNAcentral's name for it is "tRNA-Ser". Lineage: Bacteria; Bacillati; Actinomycetota; Actinomycetes; Kitasatosporales; Streptomycetaceae. The record is from RNAcentral.
CCGGUGCGGGCGUUGUUCGAGGUACUGGCCGGGUUGCUGGCCCGGCCUACGACGCCAGGUGUGCGUUUCGGUUCGUACCGGA